RNAcentral lists this long non-coding RNA (1710 nucleotides) under Homo sapiens (human). Its description in RNAcentral is "HSALNT0011287". The record is from RNAcentral. Lineage: Eukaryota; Metazoa; Chordata; Mammalia; Primates; Hominidae.
ACUUGGCUCUCUGGCUGGAGCUUGAGGACGCAAGGAGGGUUUGUCACUGGCAGACUCGAGACUGUAGGCACUGCCAUGGCCCCUGUGCUCAGUAAGGACUCGGCGGACAUCGAGUUGUCUUCGAAAUCAGUUCUUACAUUCUACUGAGGAGAAAGAUGCCAGUGAAACAUUGAAUGCCAAGCUUGAUUUCAUAUAUUGUUUCAACUAAGAACAUUUAAGAAGCCCAUCCUUCCCACUCCCUCCACUCAAUUCAACCUUAGUCUAUAUGGCCAGUUUGCCUAAUAUUACUUUUAAUCUAGAUUGCUGGUGUUCAAACACCUUCAGCUCUUAUGUAGUUCAUAUGUGCAACACUUUAAUCAGUAACAUCUUUCAUCACUCACAGCACCUUACUUUUCCCUCAAAGUAAUACCCGUGAUUCAUGAGCUAGAAUACCAUGAAAGAGCAUGAAAUUAAUCAUUAAAAUAUAAUGCAGUGAGGAAAAAUACAUUAAGCUUAGGGGAGCACAUUCAAGCAUAAAUGCCUCAGUUGAUCCUAUUGAUUUACCAAAGUUCAUUUUUGUGUUGAAGAAUUAGAAUGAAUUAUAAAGGCUCAGUUUUCCAUCAAAUUUGAAUGCUUUUCUUGAACAAAUUCAUUACAACCAUUGUCUAGAGAUCUGAUUGUGAUCAUUGUUUUAGCUUCAAAUACAUGGAUAAGCAAGUAAUAUUUUAAAAAUAUUGGUAUGAAGCAGUUAAUGAAUGUGAUAAGAACACAUUGAUAAAUGUGAAAAGUACUUGACAAUUGUUAAAAGAACAGAAGGUGAUGAUAACAACCUACUCUAAUAGUGACUGACUUUUCCCUAUGAGCUAACUACAGAACCUCAGGUUUCAGUGAAACAGCCAAGAAAUAUCUUUGUUUCUGGGGGAAAAGUUAUUGAGGUAUAUAUAAAGGUGCUUUGUGUGCCUGCUUCAUAAUUUCUAGUCUGAAUCCAAUAUCACAUCAGGAUUUGACGGUUAGGAACAUGGAAAACAAUCAGAUCACCAAACUCCAUAGCUGGAAUAUCCCUGGGCUGGGAGAUAGGCAAGGAAAGGAUGUGUUACUUGGUAAUAGGACCUAGCUCAUUACUCAGAAUUGUUGUUGUUGUUGUUGUAAUCAUAGAAGUUGCAUGAGAAAUCAUGUUUUUUUUCAGAUAUAUUAAUGUGGUUCAGAGCCUGGCUUCUGAAACCAACUGCCUCUGAUUGAGGUCUAACUUUAAGCUGUGUGUUUGGGCAAGUUAGCCUCUCUGAAUUGCACAUGGAAAAUCUGCUAAGGAUAAUAAACAAAUGUCACAAGUUGACAGCAUCUUGUUGGGAAAAAGGACAAAAAUGUUAAAAAAUAAAGAUAACAGAAAAAUAUAUCUUAUUCUCAGGAAAAUCACUUCCAAUGAAAUGAUUAGCAUUUUAAAGUCCGUUAAUAGUAGUUAUAUGCUUUUAGAAGUUAUUUUGCUUUGUGAGUGUACUGUUUGGAUACAGUCUGAAUUUUGUCAACGAUGACUUUAAUACAAACUCUCCUGGGAUGGUUUCAAAGAAGGUUAGUAUUGGACAUUGGUCACUUUCCCAGGCCUCAGCAGUAACUUAACAGCACUUCUUCAUUUAGAUUGAAUUUACAGCCAGUAUAUUGUGAAUAUCUGCACACUUGAAAGGAAAUGAGAAUUAUUUUGAAACAGUACUCUUUUGUUCAAGACCUUGUUCCCCU